This 46-nucleotide ribosomal RNA is filed under the name Escherichia coli B171. RNAcentral's name for it is "partial small subunit ribosomal RNA". Lineage: Bacteria; Pseudomonadati; Pseudomonadota; Gammaproteobacteria; Enterobacterales; Enterobacteriaceae. The record is from RNAcentral.
GAAAUGCUGGCAGCUUACGCGGGUUAAUCCCUGUUACGUUUGAAUG